This is a long non-coding RNA of Mesocricetus auratus (golden hamster), 357 nucleotides long. RefSeq lists it as uncharacterized. Lineage: Eukaryota; Metazoa; Chordata; Mammalia; Rodentia; Cricetidae. The transcript is spliced from 2 exons. The record is from RefSeq and is a predicted model, not a curated record.
AGGAGCUUUGCCUCUCAGGGCGACUAGGGGCUGGAGGACUACCUGUGGAGCUCAGAGGCUUAGGAUGUGCUUCAGGAAGGCUGCACGAGAGGAAGGGAGAGGACUUCAGACUCUGACUGACAGGCAGUCCGUGGAACUUUAGGGCCCACAUCAGCCGUGCCUCGGAACUGGUGAAAGCUUUGACAGACAGGGAAGCGAGCAAUUUCUGCCUCGGAAACUCGGGCCCCCUCAGUGCCAGCCCAUGAUUGCAGGACAACUCUCCCAUUCCAGGCUUUGUGGUACCUCCCCCUUCUCCAUCCCACAGUUCUGCCCCUGCCUCACCGAGAGUGGUAAGAACGUGUCUGAGCUCUGCCCCCA